Molecule: ribosomal RNA, 413 nt
Filed under: uncultured prokaryote
Description: bacterial SSU rRNA
Rfam family: Bacterial small subunit ribosomal RNA
Source: RNAcentral
GUGUCAGCAGCCGCGGUAAUACGAAGGGGGCUAGCGUUGUUCGGAAUUACUGGGCGUAAAGCGCGCGUAGGCGGACUGGUCAGUCAGGGGUGAAAUCCCGGGGCUUAACCUCGGAACUGCCUUUGAUACUGCCAGUCUCGAGUCCGGAAGAGGUGAGUGGAAUUCCUCGUAUAGAGGUGAAAUUCGUAGAUAUUAGGAAGAACACCGGUGGCGAAGGCGGCUCACUGGUCCGGUACUGACGCUGAGGCGCGAAAGCGUGGGGAGCAAACAGGAUUAGAUACCCUGGUAGUCCACGCCGUAAACUAUGAGGGCUAGUUGUCGGGCGGCUUGCCGUUCGGUGACGCAGCUAACGCAUUAAGCCCUCCGCCUGGGGAGUACGGUCGCAAGAUUAAAACUCAAAUGAAUUGACGGGG